GACGCCGGUCAAGGCCCGCGCUCCUUCCUCCCGCGGAGCCGUCUCCACAGCUCCGGAAGUGCUCAGCACGGUUGCGUCACUUCCGGCCCGGGGUCGACCCGCGGUCGCUGAGGUCGCGACUGGCGCUGGGUAUUAGCGUCCCUUGGCCGGCGCUUCGCUACAGCACAGCAUUCAGACCCCGAGUGUGAGCGGGGUAAGACCGGCUCAGACGGCCGAGGGAGGCAGCGGGGAGAGGGGUCGCCUUAUUGGAGAGUGGUCAAGGCAGCUCUUCCGGCUUUCACCAGCCGCCGCCCGCCAGGAUAUUCUUAACCAGCGUUUUUCUGAGGACUGCUCGCUUCACUGUUUGUAUUCCAGUGUAGCGCACAUAGAAGACAUAAUGACGUCUGUGGAGUGGAUAAAGGACUGUUGUUUCUCGGCCGCUAUCUGGUGGAAAGAGAACUGGGCCUUCGGGUCAGCGCGCCGGGACGGGAAUUUCUGCCUACACUCUCAGGCUGCCGCCUGGUGGCCCUCGAGCCGCAGAGACCAGGCUGGCUCGGCUUUCCCUUUGCUCUCCCGCCCAGUUCUCCACCUUCCCAUUCACCGUAGAAGGUUGAAUCAAAAUUGUGUUUUGCCACAUUGCCUGGCUGCACGGUUUCUGCAAACAGUGUAGGAAGAAAUAGAGAUUUAAGCAUUAAGUCAAAGCAUUUAAGGAUCUGCAUAAAAGUCUGUGCACAGAUAUAUGCUUUGGAAUGGUGAUUCUAAUAGGAAAUGUUUGCAGCAUCCAAAAUGUCCCAAAGUAAGAGUUUGUUAAAUUAUGGUAAGAUAUACAAUAAAGAGAACUAUUAAAUAUGA
This is a long non-coding RNA of Suricata suricatta (meerkat), 831 nucleotides long. RefSeq lists it as uncharacterized. The transcript is spliced from 2 exons. The record is from RefSeq and is a predicted model, not a curated record. Lineage: Eukaryota; Metazoa; Chordata; Mammalia; Carnivora; Herpestidae.